GAUGAACGCUGGCGGCGUGCCUAAUACAUGCAAGUCGAGCGAACAGACGAGGAGCUUGCUCCUCUGACGUUAGCGGCGGACGGGUGAGUAACACGUGGAUAACCUACCUAUAAGACUGGGAUAACUUCGGGAAACCGGAGCUAAUACCGGAUAAUAUAUUGAACCGCAUGGUUCAAUAGUGAAAGACGGUUUUGCUGUCACUUACAGAUGGAUCCGCGCCGCAUUAGCUAGUUGGUAAGGUAACGGCUUACCAAGGCAACGAUGCGUAGCCGACCUGAGAGGGUGAUCGGCCACACUGGAACUGAGACACGGUCCAGACUCCUACGGGAGGCAGCAGUAGGGAAUCUUCCGCAGUGGGCGAAAGCCUGACGGAGCAACGCCGCGUGAGUGAUGAAGGUCUUCGGAUCGUAAAACUCUGUUAUUAGGGAAGAACAAAUGUGUAAGUAACUAUGCACGUCUUGACGGUACCUAAUCAGAAAGCCACGGCUAACUACGU
Molecule: ribosomal RNA, 496 nt
Filed under: uncultured bacterium
Lineage: Bacteria
Description: partial 16S ribosomal RNA
Rfam family: Bacterial small subunit ribosomal RNA
Source: RNAcentral